RNAcentral lists this long non-coding RNA (1176 nucleotides) under Lactuca sativa (garden lettuce). Its description in RNAcentral is "long non-coding RNA (LSAT_LNC003013)". Lineage: Eukaryota; Viridiplantae; Streptophyta; Magnoliopsida; Asterales; Asteraceae. The record is from RNAcentral.
AAGAGGGGGGGUUUAAUUUUUGGGAUCCAACAGCAGGUGAAAUCCCGCUUAAAACGCGUGUUUCGUUAAAAAAUUAUAAAGCGACACACUUAGAUGACGCACAAUUUAUGAAAGGCACCCUCCGCAUUUCCAUUUUUUUCUUUUCUGACACUAAUUUUAGGGCAUGCACAAAUACGUAUCCUCUAUCCUUCAUAUUUUGCAGAACUAACAUUGUUUUUUAGGGCACGUACAAAUACGUGUCCUCUAUCAACACGUGUCAUUGUUUGUGCGUCGUAAAAGGGUGUUUUUCUAGUAGUGUUUAGACACACAUGUGAGUUGUCUAAGGAAAGGUGUGUGAGUUUGAGAAGCUUAGAUAAAAGGCUUAUCAAGCACNGCUUAGAUAAAAGGCUUAUCAAAGCACAUUGUAUUAGAAAUAUGAACUUUGGAAGUCAAUAAGUAUUGUCUUCUAGAAGUCCAACUGUUUUCUGAAUACGUGUCAAAGCUAGUGGGAGUAUAAAUGUUAUGUUGGAAUGGAUAUAAUCAUCCUGUUAGUGGGAGCAUGAUUAUUAUUAUUAUUUUAAGUUUUGCAAGUUGGCAAUAUUAAUUAUAGAAAAACAAAAGUUUCACUUGCAAAGUUGCAGGGGUUGAAAAGUUAUUUUUGCUAUAAUUAAGGGAGAGAAUGUUGUACUUCACUUCCAAUCUAAAAGCUUAGAUCGAGAAAUUUUAAUUGAAUUUAGUCAAAGAUAUAUUUAUUAUUUAUAUUCUCAAAGUUUGAUUAUGAUUACCGCAUCCCUCUUCAUAGUUUGAAUUUUGAGAACACGACAAAUAGGAACAUUAUGACAAUAUUAUAGCAAGAAGCUAAUAAAGUAUCACGUUUUUCAUUAUGAAUUGUAUCAUAUAUGCUUCGGCUAUUGGAUUGAUUGCAUAUGUUUUAAUAUUUGACCGUUUUAAAAUUUUCCAAAUGCCUAGGGAAUUUAGAGGGGAAAAUGGAAUAGAACCGGAUUUAACUAAAAAAUAAUUAAACUAUCAACGACAAUCUAAGGUUCGCCAAGGAUUAUUCGCUUAUGGACAGUUAGAAGUAUAGUCAUGGAUGGACCAUAAUGACAUUAUUAUCAAUAGAUAAAAUUCUAUUUAGAAUGAGUUGUCAUAUGGAAAAUAUGGAAAUGUUUCCAUAUUAGGAGUUGGAUAUCAAGAAUC